Molecule: small nucleolar RNA, 133 nt
Organism: Balaenoptera musculus (blue whale)
Lineage: Eukaryota; Metazoa; Chordata; Mammalia; Artiodactyla; Balaenopteridae
Source: Ensembl
GAUGCUGGACCUGCUGGCACCACGGGUGUGACUGCCUGCUGCACCUGUGACAUUGGGGCAGAGAGGAAGCAGCUAUUUCUAUGCUUAGUGCUCAGAACAGUGGGUGCUAAGAAUGGUAUGUAGCCGGACAUCG